RNAcentral lists this small RNA (99 nucleotides) under Jeotgalicoccus saudimassiliensis. RNAcentral describes it as "Guanidine-I riboswitch aptamer". It matches the Rfam family "Guanidine-I riboswitch aptamer". Rfam says of the family: This family represents a conserved RNA structure found upstream of the ykkC and yxkD genes in Bacillus subtilis and related genes in other bacteria. The function of this family is unclear although it has been suggested that it may function to switch on efflux pumps and detoxification systems in response to harmful environmental molecules. Nelson showed that this riboswitch senses and responds to guanidine and it was renamed Guanidine-I riboswitch. Lineage: Bacteria; Bacillati; Bacillota; Bacilli; Caryophanales; Staphylococcaceae. RNAcentral also lists the same sequence under 1 other name. The record is from Rfam by way of RNAcentral.
UAAGAAGUUCUCUAGGGUUCCGUUAAAUUAUUUAAGUCUGGACCGAGAGAGGACGCUGGAAAGAGUUCCAGUACACGGAAGGACAAAAGCCUGGGAGAG